GAUGAACGCUGACAGAAUGCUUAACACAUGCAAGUCAACUUGAACUUCGGUUUGGGUGGCGGACGGGUGAGUAACGCGUAAAGAACUUGCCUCACAGAUAGGGACAACAUUUGGAAACGAAUGCUAAUACCUGAUAUUAUGAUUUUAGGGCAUCCUAAGAUUAUGAAAGCUAUAUGCGCUGUGAGAGAGCUUUGCGUCCCAUUAGCUAGUUGGAGAGGUAACGGCUCACCAAGGCGAUGAUGGGUAGCCGGCCUGAGAGGGUGAUCGGCCACAAGGGGACUGAGACACGGCCCUUACUCCUACGGGAGGCAGCAGUGGGGAAUAUUGGACAAUGGACCAAGAGUCUGAUCCAGCAAUUCUGUGUGCACGAUGAAGUUUUUCGGAAUGUAAAGUGCUUUCAGUUGGGAAGAAAAAAAUGACGGUACCAACAGAAGAAGUGACGGCUAAAUACGUGCCAGCAGCCGCGGUAAUACGUAUGUCACAAGCGUUAUCCGGAUUUAUUGGGCGUAAAGCGCGUCUAGGUGGUUAUGUAAGUCUGAUGUGAAAAUGCAGGGCUCAACUCUGUAUUGCGUUGGAAACUGUGUAACUAGAGUACUGGAGAGGUAAGCGGAACUACAAGUGUAGAGGUGAAAUUCGUAGAUAUUUGUAGGAAUGCCGAUGGGGAAGCCAGCUUACUGGACAGAUACUGACGCUGAAGCGCGAAAGCGUGGGUAGCAAACAGG
RNAcentral lists this ribosomal RNA (722 nucleotides) under uncultured Fusobacterium sp. RNAcentral's name for it is "bacterial SSU rRNA". It matches the Rfam family "Bacterial small subunit ribosomal RNA", at positions 28 to 776 of the family's 1533-position model. The record is from RNAcentral. Lineage: Bacteria; Fusobacteriati; Fusobacteriota; Fusobacteriia; Fusobacteriales; Fusobacteriaceae.